CUGUGUUACCUUGGUUUCCAGACGUGUCUGUGGGUCGAGGUGCUGCUGUUACUCCCAUAAUUCCAUUGGUGCGCCCUCCUGGUACUCUGGUGGUUAUCAUUAUCUGUGGGAGUCUGCCUUUGUUGGUGCUGGGACUCCUCCUGUUGCUUAUCUAGAAAUCAAGGAGAGACAGGAAAUCCACAUGCGAUGGGACGGUUUGCAGCCGAGUGUGAAGCGGUGG
This is a long non-coding RNA of Esox lucius (northern pike), 220 nucleotides long. RefSeq lists it as uncharacterized. The transcript has 3 exons. The record is from RefSeq and is a predicted model, not a curated record. NCBI's taxonomy places the organism in Eukaryota, Metazoa, Chordata, Actinopteri, Esociformes, Esocidae.